This 885-nucleotide long non-coding RNA is filed under the name Lathyrus oleraceus (garden pea). RNAcentral's name for it is "Pisum sativum (pea) long non-coding RNA (PSAT_LNC016879)". The record is from RNAcentral. Lineage: Eukaryota; Viridiplantae; Streptophyta; Magnoliopsida; Fabales; Fabaceae.
CUUUCCAUCCAUCUCACCAAAAGCCACUCAUCCAAAUCAACAAAAAUCAAAAAAAUUAUGAAUGGAGCAAGAGUGUAAAACUGCAGGUGAGUUUAUUUUUUUAUAUUUCUUUAUUCCUACAACAACAACACAUUAAACUCACACUCAUCAACUAACCACACAUAAAUUUCUCACCAUGAAAAUUAUCACUUUGUUUCUUUAUACCAUAAACCAACAAUUUUCCUUCACAUGUAAAUCCAUACAAACAACUACUUUCCACUACUAUCAUAACAAACUUCCUCUCUCAUGUACAUAACUCUCACCAUAUGAACUUAUCACACCCCCAUGAAACCAAUCAUCAUCCUCUCAUACUCCUCUAAAAUUUACAAAAACAAAACUACCACUUGCUACUUCCAUUCUUUACACUUCUUAAACACUCACCGUAAAACAAUUUUUCUUCUACACUAACAACCUUCAUGUGAAUCAACAACAACUCCACCAUCGUUUCUUCGAUCUGAUAGCUUUCCUUUUACUCUUGAUAAUCUAUCAUUAUAUGUUUCUUUUUCAUAUAUUUUGAAUGAUAUUUUGUUUGUUUGUGAAAAAAAAAAACUUAUACUUUUAUUUCCAUGAAAGAGUAAAAUAUAAUAAGAGAGAGUUUUGAUGUAAGAAUAUUUUCCCAGUAAAGUAAGAGAGAUGAUGUGCUUGUUUGUUUGUUCAUUUUUAUUAUUUAUUUUAUUUGUUGUAUUAUUAUUGUAAUAUUAUUAGUCACAUGUCAACAUGUCCUAUUUUUAUUUGUCUAGUUUUUAAAUUUGAGAAAAAGGAACAAAAAAAGUUCAUUUAGUUAUAAUAGUAACUUAUAGGCAGUAUAUCAUAAAAGCAAGUCACGCCUGCCCCUUUUUGUUUUUA